CGCACGGGUGAGUAACACGUAUCCAACCUGCCGUCUACUCUUGGACAGCCUCUGAAAGGAAGAUUAAUACAAGAUGGCAUCAUGAGUCCGCAUGUUCACAUGAUUAAAGGUAUUCCGGUAGACGAUGGGGAUGCGUUCCAUUAGAUAGUAGGCGGGGUAACGGCCCACCUAGUCUUCGAUGGAUAGGGGUUCUGAGAGGAAGGUCCCCCACAUUGGAACUGAGACACGGUCCAA
RNAcentral lists this ribosomal RNA (234 nucleotides) under uncultured bacterium. Its description in RNAcentral is "partial 16S ribosomal RNA". It matches the Rfam family "Bacterial small subunit ribosomal RNA", at positions 99 to 334 of the family's 1533-position model. The record is from RNAcentral.